RNAcentral lists this ribosomal RNA (290 nucleotides) under Funneliformis coronatus. RNAcentral describes it as "Funneliformis coronatum ribosomal RNA". The record is from RNAcentral. Lineage: Eukaryota; Fungi; Glomeromycota; Glomeromycetes; Glomerales; Glomeraceae.
CGGUCGUACUGACGGAAUCAACUUCUCGAUAGUGGUUUGUGGGCUUUGUUCUCGCGAUAUCCGUGUUCUUUUGGUGCACUUCCUCGUAUUGUAGGUUAGCAUCGGUUUUGAUUGUCAUAAAAUGAUUGGAGGAAUGUGGCUUCGACUUCGGUUGAAGUGUUAUAGACUCUGGUAGAUGUGAUGGUUGAGACCGAGGAUUGCAACGGAUGCCCUUAAGGGCUAUCCGCCUGGCCUCUGAUUUGUUGCUUUGGCUUUGAAGGCUUGCUUACGAGGUUAGAGUUUGCGGUCAA